Molecule: long non-coding RNA, 229 nt
Filed under: Nicotiana benthamiana
Lineage: Eukaryota; Viridiplantae; Streptophyta; Magnoliopsida; Solanales; Solanaceae
Description: long non-coding RNA (NBEN_LNC010621)
Source: RNAcentral
GAUGAUAUCCCAUGUGUUCCUGCAUGUCUGUGAUGUAAUUGCAAAUAUCCUUCCACUGAAAUCUAUCCGCAAUUACUCCAUCUUGAUCCAUGUGUAUGCACCAGUACGUUUUCCAUUUCCAACUCAUCUGACUUGCUUUCUUUGUGAUCUCCCCUUUGUCUUUUCUUUUACCGUUUUUUCUGGAUAUCCUUCUAUGAAAAACGAUCCACAGUAACCAAAAAGAAUCUGG